This 2925-nucleotide ribosomal RNA is filed under the name Escherichia coli. Its description in RNAcentral is "23S ribosomal RNA". It matches the Rfam family "Bacterial large subunit ribosomal RNA". Lineage: Bacteria; Pseudomonadati; Pseudomonadota; Gammaproteobacteria; Enterobacterales; Enterobacteriaceae. The record is from RNAcentral.
GGGUUGUGAGGUUAAGCGACUAAGCGUACACGGUGGAUGCCCUGGCAGUCAGAGGCGAUGAAGGACGUGCUAAUCUGCGAUAAGCGUCGGUAAGGUGAUAUGAACCGUUAUAACCGGCGAUUUCCGAAUGGGGAAACCCAGUGUGUUUCGACACACUAUCAUUAACUGAAUCCAUAGGUUAAUGAGGCGAACCGGGGGAACUGAAACAUCUAAGUACCCCGAGGAAAAGAAAUCAACCGAGAUUCCCCCAGUAGCGGCGAGCGAACGGGGAGCAGCCCAGAGCCUGAAUCAGUGUGUGUGUUAGUGGAAGCGUCUGGAAAGGCGCGCGAUACAGGGUGACAGCCCCGUACACAAAAAUGCACAUGCUGUGAGCUCGAUGAGUAGGGCGGGACACGUGGUAUCCUGUCUGAAUAUGGGGGGACCAUCCUCCAAGGCUAAAUACUCCUGACUGACCGAUAGUGAACCAGUACCGUGAGGGAAAGGCGAAAAGAACCCCGGCGAGGGGAGUGAAAAAGAACCUGAAACCGUGUACGUACAAGCAGUGGGAGCACGCUUAGGCGUGUGACUGCGUACCUUUUGUAUAAUGGGUCAGCGACUUAUAUUCUGUAGCAAGGUUAACCGAAUAGGGGAGCCGAAGGGAAACCGAGUCUUAACUGGGCGUUAAGUUGCAGGGUAUAGACCCGAAACCCGGUGAUCUAGCCAUGGGCAGGUUGAAGGUUGGGUAACACUAACUGGAGGACCGAACCGACUAAUGUUGAAAAAUUAGCGGAUGACUUGUGGCUGGGGGUGAAAGGCCAAUCAAACCGGGAGAUAGCUGGUUCUCCCCGAAAGCUAUUUAGGUAGCGCCUCGUGAAUUCAUCUCCGGGGGUAGAGCACUGUUUCGGCAAGGGGGUCAUCCCGACUUACCAACCCGAUGCAAACUGCGAAUACCGGAGAAUGUUAUCACGGGAGACACACGGCGGGUGCUAACGUCCGUCGUGAAGAGGGAAACAACCCAGACCGCCAGCUAAGGUCCCAAAGUCAUGGUUAAGUGGGAAACGAUGUGGGAAGGCCCAGACAGCCAGGAUGUUGGCUUAGAAGCAGCCAUCAUUUAAAGAAAGCGUAAUAGCUCACUGGUCGAGUCGGCCUGCGCGGAAGAUGUAACGGGGCUAAACCAUGCACCGAAGCUGCGGCAGCGACGCUGAUGCGUUGUUGGGUAGGGGAGCGUUCUGUAAGCCUGUGAAGGUGUACUGUGAGGUAUGCUGGAGGUAUCAGAAGUGCGAAUGCUGACAUAAGUAACGAUAAAGCGGGUGAAAAGCCCGCUCGCCGGAAGACCAAGGGUUCCUGUCCAACGUUAAUCGGGGCAGGGUGAGUCGACCCCUAAGGCGAGGCCGAAAGGCGUAGUCGAUGGGAAACAGGUUAAUAUUCCUGUACUUGGUGUUACUGCGAAGGGGGGACGGAGAAGGCUAUGUUGGCCGGGCGACGGUUGUCCCGGUUUAAGCGUGUAGGCUGGUUUUCCAGGCAAAUCCGGAAAAUCAAGGCUGAGGCGUGAUGACGAGGCACUACGGUGCUGAAGCAACAAAUGCCCUGCUUCCAGGAAAAGCCUCUAAGCAUCAGGUAACAUCAAAUCGUACCCCAAACCGACACAGGUGGUCAGGUAGAGAAUACCAAGGCGCUUGAGAGAACUCGGGUGAAGGAACUAGGCAAAAUGGUGCCGUAACUUCGGGAGAAGGCACGCUGAUAUGUAGGUGAAGUCCCUCGCGGAUGGAGCUGAAAUCAGUCGAAGAUACCAGCUGGCUGCAACUGUUUAUUAAAAACACAGCACUGUGCAAACACGAAAGUGGACGUAUACGGUGUGACGCCUGCCCGGUGCCGGAAGGUUAAUUGAUGGGGUUAGCGCAAGCGAAGCUCUUGAUCGAAGCCCCGGUAAACGGCGGCCGUAACUAUAACGGUCCUAAGGUAGCGAAAUUCCUUGUCGGGUAAGUUCCGACCUGCACGAAUGGCGUAAUGAUGGCCAGGCUGUCUCCACCCGAGACUCAGUGAAAUUGAACUCGCUGUGAAGAUGCAGUGUACCCGCGGCAAGACGGAAAGACCCCGUGAACCUUUACUAUAGCUUGACACUGAACAUUGAGCCUUGAUGUGUAGGAUAGGUGGGAGGCUUAGAAGUGUGGACGCCAGUCUGCAUGGAGCCGACCUUGAAAUACCACCCUUUAAUGUUUGAUGUUCUAACGUUGACCCGUAAUCCGGGUUGCGGACAGUGUCUGGUGGGUAGUUUGACUGGGGCGGUCUCCUCCUAAAGAGUAACGGAGGAGCACGAAGGUUGGCUAAUCCUGGUCGGACAUCAGGAGGUUAGUGCAAUGGCAUAAGCCAGCUUGACUGCGAGCGUGACGGCGCGAGCAGGUGCGAAAGCAGGUCAUAGUGAUCCGGUGGUUCUGAAUGGAAGGGCCAUCGCUCAACGGAUAAAAGGUACUCCGGGGAUAACAGGCUGAUACCGCCCAAGAGUUCAUAUCGACGGCGGUGUUUGGCACCUCGAUGUCGGCUCAUCACAUCCUGGGGCUGAAGUAGGUCCCAAGGGUAUGGCUGUUCGCCAUUUAAAGUGGUACGCGAGCUGGGUUUAGAACGUCGUGAGACAGUUCGGUCCCUAUCUGCCGUGGGCGCUGGAGAACUGAGGGGGGCUGCUCCUAGUACGAGAGGACCGGAGUGGACGCAUCACUGGUGUUCGGGUUGUCAUGCCAAUGGCACUGCCCGGUAGCUAAAUGCGGAAGAGAUAAGUGCUGAAAGCAUCUAAGCACGAAACUUGCCCCGAGAUGAGUUCUCCCUGACUCCUUGAGAGUCCUGAAGGAACGUUGAAGACGACGACGUUGAUAGGCCGGGUGUGUAAGCGCAGCGAUGCGUUGAGCUAACCGGUACUAAUGAACCGUGAGGCUUAACCUUACAACGCCGAAG